AUGGUGAAAGGCGCAGUCCGCUAUGAGCCUGGACCGGCAUUUCAGGAGAGUGGAGAGCAGGGCAAGCUUGAAAUACCAGCAUCUGGCUCCACAGAAUUUUGGCUAAUACAGUGGCCUCUAAACCAUGUAAAUGCUUCUGAUUUUAAUGGUAAAGAAGCUUCUCUUAAGCUUAAUGACGAUGGAAACUUGGGAAAUUUGGAGAGUUCUUCGGGGAAAUCAUAUGAACUCGUUAGCUUUGCUGCUCAACAACCAGAUGCUACUGUCUUCAUUCCAUCAGGAUCUGAAAUGAAAGCCGUGGGGAAGAUUUCACGCAGAGUUUGCUUGGUUCGUUACCCUGAACCUGAAGAAUUGGAGAAAGAGAAACCAAGUUUUGGGAGUCUUACACCUGGCAGUAGGAGAUCUGCAGGUUCUUCUCGGAAGACUAUGUCUCGGUUCAGUGGCUUCUCGAAGAACCGUAGCAGCCAAGGAUCAGCAUUGUCCCUGGGUCAGGAGAAGCGUAGCAGCCAAGGAUCAGCAUUGUCCCAGGGUGAACAGAGCGCGGAGCCGACGCCCAAACACAAGCAGAAGAGAAGGGACGAAAGCAGCUUGGGGGGCCACUCAAACGUGGCCGCCAAGUCCUCGGAAGGAUCCCAGGCUCGUGGCGCAGGAAGCAACACAACCUCUGAGAUGCCGCAGACGCCCGUCGAGAAAUCCAAGAAGAAGAAGAGAGUUAGGAUUGAAGAGUAG
RNAcentral lists this ribosomal RNA (726 nucleotides) under Triticum aestivum (bread wheat). Its description in RNAcentral is "partial small subunit ribosomal RNA". Lineage: Eukaryota; Viridiplantae; Streptophyta; Magnoliopsida; Poales; Poaceae. The record is from RNAcentral.